Molecule: unclassified non-coding RNA, 255 nt
Filed under: Hevea brasiliensis (rubber tree)
Lineage: Eukaryota; Viridiplantae; Streptophyta; Magnoliopsida; Malpighiales; Euphorbiaceae
Source: RNAcentral
UUAACAACAAAACAAAACUCAAUAACAUCAAGGUUUUUCUCCCUAUGCCGUACGGACAAUGCAACACAAGGUCUUUCACCCUGUUUUAUGAAGCAUGCAACAAACAAAACUAUUGAAUGAUUGUAGAUAGGAAACAGAAUGGAAGAAAAAAAUAUUGUGGUGGGAUGCUACCUCUUACUAGAUUAGCUUUAUAUAAUGACCAAGGACAAUACAAUAAAGCACCCAAUUUUCUUACAGUAUGUUUGGAUGGAGUGU